RNAcentral lists this ribosomal RNA (643 nucleotides) under uncultured bacterium. RNAcentral describes it as "bacterial SSU rRNA". It matches the Rfam family "Bacterial small subunit ribosomal RNA", at positions 232 to 885 of the family's 1533-position model. The record is from RNAcentral.
CGCGGCCUAUCAGCUUGUUGGUGAGGUAACGGCUCACCAAGGCUUCGACGGGUAGCCGGCCUGAGAGGGCGACCGGCCACACUGGGACUGAGAUACGGCCCAGACUCCUACGGGAGGCAGCAGUGGGGAAUAUUGCACAAUGGGCGCAAGCCUGAUGCAGCAACGCCGCGUGCGGGAUGACGGCCUUCGGGUUGUAAACCGCUUUCAGUUCCGACGAAGCGCAAGUGACGGUAGGAACAGAAGAAGGACCGGCCAACUACGUGCCAGCAGCCGCGGUGAUACGUAGGGUCCGAGCGUUGCCCGGAAUUAUUGGGCGUAAAGGGCUUGUAGGCGGUUUGUCACGUCGGAAGUGAAAACUCAGGGCUUAACCCUGAGCCUGCUUCCGAUACGGGCAAACUAGAGGGAUGCAGGGGAGAAUGGAAUUCCUGGUGGAGCGGUGGAAUGCGCAGAUAUCAGGAGGAACACCGGUGGCGAAGGCGGUUCUCUGGGCAUUUCCUGACGCUGAGAAGCGAAAGCGUGGGGAGCAAACAGGCUUAGAUACCCUGGUAGUCCACGCCGUAAACGGUGGGCACUAGGUGUGGGGAACAUUCCACGUUCUCCGUGCCGAAGCUAACGCAUUAAGUGCCCCGCCUGGGGAGUACGG